AUUGAACGCUGGCGGAAUGCUUUACACAUGCAAGUCGAGCGGCAGCGCGGGGCAACCUGGCGGCGAGCGGCGAACGGGUGAGUAAUGGCAUCGGAACGUACCCCGUCGUGGGGGAUAACUACCCGGAAAGGGUAGCUAAUACCGCAUACGAACCUGAGGGUGAAAGCGGGGGGACCCGAAAGGCCCUCGCGCGAUGGGAGCGGCCGAUGCCGGAUUUAGCUAGUUGGUAGGGUAAAGGCCUACCAAGGCGACGAUCCGUAGCUGGUCUGAGAGGACGACCAGCUACACUGGAACUGAGACACGGUCCAGACUCCUACGGGAGGCAGCAGUGGGGAAUUUUGGACAAUGGGCGAAAGCCUGAUCCAGCCAUUCCGCGUGAGUGAAGAAGGCCU
Molecule: ribosomal RNA, 392 nt
Filed under: uncultured bacterium
Lineage: Bacteria
Description: bacterial SSU rRNA
Rfam family: Bacterial small subunit ribosomal RNA
Source: RNAcentral